UGUGCACAGGAGGGAGGGUUAGCGAAGAAAGAGGGAAUGGAGGAGGGAGGCACGGCGGAGGCAAGUCAGAGGGGCAGGCAGUGGAGGACGAGAAGAAAGAGGGCAUGCGAGGAAGCGGCGCGGAUGGGUGGAGGGGCAACGAGAGAAGAACGGGACAUUUUAUUAUUUGUUUUCAAGAAAAAAGAGUUCUUGGACAGCCCAGUACCUCCCAGCCACACACACAAGUUAAGGACCACCAUUGCCACAUCCUACUGUUUGGCUUCUGAGGAGAGGAUGCUUGUACUAAUAGCUGUGCCUGCAGUCUGGGGAGAGCUUGUCAAGGUUAUUGUUAGCCCAAGUGUCUAUCUUCUUGUUCACCAGAAGACCCCACAAUCUGAAGAAAGCACCAGGAAUGUGACCCAUCAGCAGAUAUGGAACACACUCCAGCAAAGAAUCACUGGAUGUAUCACUUUAGCAUGAACAAGCCUGUCCUGCCUUCUGAUCUUUUUAGCUUAUAUUUACUACUAGCAAAGGAAUGCACUAAAGACAAGAGUCAGCAGUGAGUGAAGGUGAUCUCAGCAGCAAAGAAAGCCUUACUCCCUAAUCCCUUGCUCCUGCCCUCAUCCACAUAUUCCUGUCCUCUCAAGCACCCAUCCUUCCUUGUUCCAGAUAUGACGGUUGAAAGAAAGAGUGAAUGAAGAGAGAAUGAUGAGAUCAGAACCCAGAUCCUUCUGUUAGCUUAUUGAGGUGGAAAAAAGAAGAAUGGUUAUUAUGAAGAAGAGAAAGUUCACAAAGUGGAUGGGAAACAGAAGCAGGACACUGGUAGACAUGUCUGAGCACUGUCACUUUCCUUAGCAGCCCGUGGGGGGAAUUCUGUGAAGAAACAGGAAGCUGGUCAAUGCUACCCAUUUUACCCAAUCUAUCAUUCAUACAGGGCAAGGAGCAGCAGUGGAGAAGAUGAAGUUUACUGAAGGUAUGUGUUAGGUCUGCUUUUCAAAAAGCAGGUUGCUGCACAAAAGUCAUACAGGUCAUUGGAAGAUCUAUGUCUCCACCUAUGGAUAGACAGGUGAUAAAUACUUAUGUGAACUGUAUAGCAGUCUGGUCUUCAACACUGUUACCUGGUGUCUCUGUAUGCGCUAGGGAAAAUAUGGCCAUAGGCUUGUACAGACUAAUUUGACAGCUCUAGAGGGUGGUUAUUACGCUCCAGGAAAUUCUACACAAUUAAGACCAUCCUGAUUUAGUUCGCAAGGUACUUAAGCACAGAUCAGUAACUGAGCAUCAGACUCCCUUUAGCAACUGAGACUACUAUGAAACAGAGCUUUGUGCUUGUUUGGGGUUUUGUUUUGUUUUGUUGUGUUGUGUUGUGUUUUUGUUUGCUUGUUUAGAAACUACUUUUCUGAAGGCAAUUUUGAGACAUUUUACUGUAAAGUACAUGGGAUAUGAUCUAAAACUGAGCUAGGUUACAGAGUUUGUAGUGAAAUGCAGUGUUUUGCUCCUUUCAGUCUCAUCCCAGCACAGUGAUAAGCACCACCAGUUCCCAUUAAACUCAAUACAACCACAAUAGCAGUUGAAACCACUUAGUUAAGAAUUGCCCCUCUGAAAGUAGAUAAAGGGUAAGCUGUAAUACAAUGUUCAUACACUCUUUAGUACUUAGUAAAACUGUAAAUAUGGCCUUUUGAAAUAAUAUCUCCUUUCCUGAAGUGUCUGCAGUCCUAGAGACAUUAUUCAACAGUCUGAUAGUAAGAAGUCUUAUUAAUAUGUCUGUAAAAGAAAGGUAUACAGGAGGAUUUUUAAUGCACUUUGCCACAGCAAAAUUUACUAGCUGUGUACCUUCAUGAGUCACAUAUGUUGAAUACAGUAUUUAUGAUGAGGUUAGGAGCCAAAAUAUAUUAAUAAGUAAAUGAAAAUUACUUAUACUGUCUUUUUUGCAAUUAAUCUCUGGCAUAAAUCUGGAAUGAGCUCCAUAGAAAUUUCAACACGAAAACCCGAGAUUUAAGAUUAAUAACCUGAAAUUGUAUACUGCUAUUGAAUAUUAAGUAGAAAUAUUGUAUCUUUAAAUAUAAUUAAUUUCAUUCCAAUUCUGCAUACAUAAAUGAUGAAUGUGCUGCAGGACGGUAUUAAGAAAUAAAUAAAUGUAUUAACACAUACUGUAGAACUUGGCACAAAAUGUUAGCUUUGCUGUAACAACUUUAAGGGGAUUGUAACUAAGGGAUAAAGUUUGGAUCCCUUUAAAAAGAAGUCAUCACUAUAAUUUUUUUAUUUUUUUAAAAAAUACUUGCAAAAAAGUAGAAUCUGUAUUUUAAAGCAUAUCUAAUUAUUUUCAUCCUUGGCUGUCUUUGAUCACUCACUUUCUGAAUAAUGAAAGCACUGCAUAGUGAAAGCACUUGUGAGAAGCAAGAAGAGGAAAUGUGUGUGGAUUCAGCUGGGAUAGAGUUAAUUUUCUUCCUAGUAGCUGGUGCAGUGCUGUGUUUUGGCUUGUGUCUGAGAACAAUGCUGACAAUACACCUAUGUUUUGGUUGUUGAGUAGCACUUACCCUGAUCAAGGACUCUUCAGUCUCAUGCUCUGCCAGUGAGGAGGGACACAAGAAGCUGGGAGGAA
Molecule: long non-coding RNA, 2578 nt
Organism: Strigops habroptila (Kakapo)
Lineage: Eukaryota; Metazoa; Chordata; Aves; Psittaciformes; Psittacidae
Exons: 4
Source: RefSeq, a predicted model, not a curated record